UGUUUUCAAGGAGUGAAGUACAGUUAGUGCGACGUGGUGAACUUGGUAGUGUGUGACCUCACAGGAAGGCGUUCUUACUGGAAGUUUCUUCAGUUCAAAUUCUGCUGGCUUCUGGAUGGUUCCUCUGGGAUCGGCACCUCAGCGGCUCUCCUGAUGAAGUCAUGCCAGAUACCUUUCCUCUGACUGGGAGGAACCCCAUCUUGGCUCCUGUCUACAGGCAGCUGGGGCAGUACAGCCCAGGGGAUUAGUGGGAUUUGUGCCCAAGCGAGAGAGAUCUGCCCCUGCCUGCAGGUCAGUGACUUCUGAAUGACCUACUGCCCCUAGAGGAACGGCACUGGGCCUCUGCACUGUCCCUUCCUUCUUUCUGCAGAAGCCAGCUCUCUCUCAGUCCUGGGCCGCUGCCUAGAGUUUCUUUGCUCCCUUAGUUUGCGGGGAGAAGGAAGGCGGCAGCUUGCAAGUUAUUCUGGGGAGAAGAGACGCUGGGCCACACAGCCCUUCCGCCAUAGGCAACCGCAGGUGGAAUUUUCCCCGACGUCUGCGCUGUUCUCAAGUUUCCCAACCUGUUCACCCACACUUGGCACUCAGAGAAAAUCCUCAGAGCUGCCAGGCCACCAGUUUAGCCUUGAGGCUGUGACCAAAUAUAUAAGAGGGACCCCUCCCCCGACUGGAUCCGUUUAUUUUCAAAAAAAGGGCUUUCCGCAGAUGUCCCCAUGGAGCCAACAGGAAGGACUGUGGGCAGCGGACUGCUGCAGCCACACACGGGCAGCUGCGGGACCCUCUCCCUGACCCAUUUAAGUCAUGCCGUGAUUGAUGAUUGCAAUGGGAAAGUAGCAACUGCAGAUGGACAGGCAGCGGGACAAGCAAAAAAACAAUAGCGCCUGUUCCUGGCACCUGUCCCUGCCUGAGGUGGAGGAGGCGCUGUUAACUAGUCUGGUGAUGAAAAACAUGGGUUUUGGAGGCAGACGGGCUGAGUUCAGAUCCCACCGACGUCCCUUCCAGACUGGGCAAGGGUCCUGAAGACCAGAGAGGGACAGUGGUGGAUCCAGGAUCACACUCCUGGCUCAGGGCGGAAAGAGGGCUGACGGCAUCAUGCUUCCUGCCUUUUCUCUCUUCGAAGAAUACCUAAGCUCCUGCGUUGCUCCUCAAACUCAGUUUGGGGCUUUACAAGUUAGAGUUGCUGGGGCAAAUUAUGUUCUGCAGUGUUGCUCUGAGAGAGUCCAGUUUUGUUUGGUUUGGGAAUCAGUGCCCUGGUGGGAACACAGAAAACACUAGACUUGGCAGCUGCAGAAAUGGGUUCACAUCUCACCUGCAACGUGUCAAGUCUUUGGUCGUGGGCCAGCCACUGAAGUCUCUGAGACUCAGAACCCACAGCCCUUACCAAGAGAUCUGUCUGCCUAUUUUUGGAUGCACAGCUGGGUGAGAGGCCUCCUGGGUCCCUUGACAUAUGGUACUGGUUCCUACAACUCACUCUGAGACAUCUUCAUGGAUGGAUGUUUAAUUCAUUGUUAAAAGGGGAGAGAAUGCAGGAAUGUCUCAUGCUGCCAUAAUGCUGACAUCACUCCCCCUGAGACUCCGUUUCUCCUCCUGUAAAAUGGUGAUAUAAACUGUGCCUACCUCAAAAUACGUUGGUAAAGAUGAAAUGAGUUAAUAUGAAGAGCUCAGAACAGUGCCAGGCACAUAAUCUUUAAUAAAUGUCACUGUUAUUAGAAUUAAAGGUCAGGUUACAGGGAUUAGGUACUUAGAAACUCUUUCUCUACACCCGGCCAAUUUUGUGCCUCAGUGGCUAGGUUGGUGGCCUUUGUCACGAGAUAAGGGGGUGACAGAGCUGCUGCCGGGUAGAGUGGUGGGAGUUACCCAGGAUUCAUGGGAACAAGAGGGCAUUGAUUUGCAAUGCUGGCGUGAAUUUGGAGUAGGGAUCUGGACGCCUGGACCUUCUCCGUGGCUGGUGGCCAUGAGAGACACAUAUUGCAUCAUUCUUGCUAUUUUUUUGUGUGUGACUGGAGCAGAGCAGAGGCUUUUCUUGGUUCCAAUGGGAGCCCCGGCAAGUCCAAGUGGAGAAGCAGGGCAGCUGUCGGGAGAAUUCAGGCGGGAGCGGGCUCAGCGCCCAGGCCAGCAGCCUGUGACAGGCAGAAAUGCAGUGAGACGUGACAUCUGCCGCCUGACCACAUCCCCACGCCGCCCUCCCUCAUCCAGCUGCUCAAGAGAAGGAAGGAAACCAGGCUUUUCCCACUGCUAUUGUGUACCUGACAGGUUCAUCAAUCUUAUUCGGCUCAUCCUCAUGGCCUCUCAAGCCGGUGAUUAUAUCUCUUCUCUGGCAGAGGAAGAGGAAGAGGAGAUUCAGAAGUGUCCCAGGGCAGAGGGAGGGGCAGAGCCAGUGUUCAAGCCUCGGGCCUCCACUCCAAAGUCCACGUGCCUUCCAUGGCACCAGCUAGUUCUCGCUGGUCCGGCCACCUAUCACCCGGAGAGACUGGCUUAUCUUUAAUCAAUACGUGCAUGGCCAGAGGAGACAAAUAAGUGCAGAGGCACCUGGCUCCUGGCGCUAAUGGCCUAAAGAAAAGAGAAGCUUGAGCCCAAGUCCCCUUCCUGGUUGAGUACUGACCCUGUUUUACCUUCCUGCCCCCUGAGCCCUAGGCAGACCUUUGGCCUGGAGGGGGCACCCUGUCCCGGGGCCAGCCCAACAGGCCUGGCCCCAAAGACAAUAGCUGGAAGGGCCUCUUAGAGCAAGUACUUCCUGAAGUGCCCAGAACAGUCACUGUCCCCACAGCUCAGGAACAAUCACAGCUCAGUCAGCUUCCUGGCUCUUUGCAGGGCCUCCAGCCCUCCAGGCAGAGCCCUUAGGUCUACUGUUUGGGGAGGGACAAGAGGACAGCAAGAGCAGUGCUCCAGAGUCUAGGACAGACCUCGGGAUAUAGACAUUUUUUCUACAUUGAAGCCGGAGGAAAAAUUCCAGGUUCUCUCUUUUCUUUACUAUUCUGGUAAACCAACUGCCUGAUCCUUGAUCUUUGUGCUUCUGUCAUGUCUUUUUGGGAUUUUUAAACAGGGAGAAAAGUGGGGGGUGGGGGAGAAGCCAAAGGAAAAAAUAAAUUCUGGAAUGAAACUAUA
This is a long non-coding RNA of Herpailurus yagouaroundi (jaguarundi), 3102 nucleotides long. RefSeq lists it as uncharacterized. Lineage: Eukaryota; Metazoa; Chordata; Mammalia; Carnivora; Felidae. The transcript has 2 exons. The record is from RefSeq and is a predicted model, not a curated record.